Molecule: long non-coding RNA, 6313 nt
Filed under: Lathyrus oleraceus (garden pea)
Lineage: Eukaryota; Viridiplantae; Streptophyta; Magnoliopsida; Fabales; Fabaceae
Description: Pisum sativum (pea) long non-coding RNA (PSAT_LNC003774)
Source: RNAcentral
UCUUUUCUUAUUUUUUUAAUGCCAAACCUUGAAACAUCACAGCUAUAUAAAUGCUUAUUCAACCCCCACACAACUCCAACAAGCUCUUUUAACCCUUUAAAUAAGAAGAUAAAAUUUUUUCACUUUAUGACUUGUAAUGAUUUUAAAUAAAGAAUGAUAUAAAUAGACUCAAUGGAUUUUCAAACAAGGGAUGAUAUCAUUCAUAGUUGCCUUUUUGGCUAAGUGGCUAAAAGUAAAACAAAAACAAGUUGUUUUUAUCAUAUCAGUGUGCACGAGAAAUCAACAGUUUUAAAAAGAGUCAAUUCAAGUUUUAGAGACUAACAGACAUGAAUGAAAUCACAAAAGAAAGAAAGAGAUGGAUUUUUUUAUUGUUAUCCAUCAAAAGGCUCAAAAUAUCACAAGGUUAUUGAUCUACCACAAUUGAUGCACAAUUAAGCAUUUAGUCUUACUUAUCAUACUAAGAACAUAAAAAAAAUCAAUCACUUCACACCAUAAUUCUUUAAUCAAUAGAACAGAGAAAAUACUCAUAAUUGUAACUCAAAAACCAAAGAAAAAGCAUGCAUUUAACUUCACACCAUAAUUCUUUAAUCAAUAGAACAGAGAAAAUACUCAUAAUUGUAACUCAAAAACCAAAGAAAAAGCAUGCAUUUAUUUUAUUUUUUUUAUGUAAGAAAACAAACAAAAACAAAGAAAUUGAAUAAAACAAAGUAAAUGGCUCCUCAGAAGACAAAGUUCCCAGAAGACAAAGUGGAAGCAAAAUUCGAUUUCUAAGCUUGAAUAAUAUAGCGUUAGUGAGCAUCUAAUUGUGACAGUCAAAGCAGAUAAAAGGAUAGUUUACCAGGGAGUACAUCAUAAGCAAUAAGAUCCUCAUAAGAUAAAAUUCACUCAACUCUCGAAUAUUUAGGUUGAUUGUUUACACUCAAAGCACAAUAUGUAAAUUAACAUGCACAAAAAGAUCAAAAUGACUUUUAUUUGGUUGUAACUUGGUCAGGGUACGGGUGAGAUAAAUCAUAAGGGGUACUAGGCUAAAAUUCAAAGGGUCAAAAGAAAAUUGAAAAUAGACGCGGGAGUUGAACUAAAUAUAUUCCAUUCACUUUCAAACAACACUUUUCCAUUUUCUCUUUUCUCUUUUCUCUUUUUCUUUUUAUUUACUUUUUUUUCUUUCAGAAGGAAUACAAUAAGGACGAGAGUUUUCUUCCUUCUUUCUUUUCUUAUUUUUUUAAUGCNGUGAUUAUAAAAUCAACUAAAACGAGUUAAUUUACUUCUUGAAUUUCCAAAUUAUCACCGCGUAAUUAAAAAUUUCAAAACCUCUAAGCGAAUUCUAAUCCCCUUUCAAUUACAAAUCAAUUAACAAUGCCGAAAUUGACACUAUGAAUUUACACUUCUAUUAUUGAAUGAAGCAAACAGAUUCAAACACGCACGAAUUAAGCAAAUGUGAAUUCAACAUACACAAUUUUUGACGGUUUUUUAAAGCAAUAUUUAAAACCGAUACAAAUCAAGCGAACAUUAAACUAAUCGGAAUAAAUUCAAUAUGAAUAUAUAUAAUUUCGAAUUUAAGCAUAUAAAAUAUAUAGAAGAAUAUUGAAAGGAAAAGAGGAAUUUGCCGAUUGAAAAUAUAAAACCUCAAAGUAUUGGAGGGGGGAUGGAAACAUGAAUCAAUAGGUCAAUGCCUUGGUGAUUAGUUCUCCAUGCAAGUAUCGUGAAAAUUCAUAAUAAUACUAAUUAGGCAGAUAAUUUUAUCCAGUAUAACAAAAGCGUAUAAUUCGGAACCUUAUGGAAAACCGACCCAAAAAAAUUACAAAAAAAGGCUCAAACUAACUAUUUUAAUUAAAGUUUGGAACUUCAAUGAAUUAUUCGACUUUCCUUCACUCUUGAAUCAUCUUUUACUUCAACAAGAAACUUGUAGCAAUUUUCUGUUAACUUUCCAACACAUACCAGAAACGUGUCAAUCUAAAUUCUGAAGCUUCAAGUUAUGAUAAGCAUAGUUGAAAAGGGUACCAAAAUAAUUAUUAACUGAAAAUAAAGUAAAAAAAAAUAAAAUUAAAGUCAGAAAUAAAACUUAAAUAUAAAAAACACGCUAAAAUAAUUAAAAACAAAUAGAGUAAAUAUAGAUUGCCUAAGUGUAAUACUAGAAAAGUGCAUCAAAAUGCCCACUGCAUCAAAAUUUCCCCCACACUUUGAACUUUUGCACUCCGAGCAAAUUAUAAAGUCAAAACAGAGUUAUGCAAUUCCAAAAGUUCUCAGUAAGACAAAGUUGGAGGGGGGGACAGCAAAAAAAUUCUAUUUCUAAGCUUCAAUAAUAAUAGCGUAUAGGAGCAACUAAUUUGUGACAGUCACAAAACCAAUAAAGAUAGUUUACCAGGCGAGUACUUCAAAGCAAAUAAGAAUCCUCAUAAGAUAAAAAAUGUCACUCAAUCUGCGAGUAUUUAGGUUGAUUGUUUACCACUCACAGCCACAAACAUGAAAAAUUAACAUGACACAAAAAGAUCAAAUACGUUUAUUGUUGUAAACUUGCUCAGGGUACGGUGAGAUAAAUCCUAAGUCGGGUUACAGGCUAAAAUUCAAUAGCGUAAAAAGAAAAUUGAAAAAUAGCACGCGGAGUCUGAACUAAAUAUAUUCCAAUUCACUUUCAAACAACACGUUUUCCAUUUUAUCUUUGCUUCUUUUCUCUUUUUCUUUCUUAUUUACUUUUUUUUCUUUCAGAAGAGAUACAGAUAAGACGAGAGUUUUCUUCCUUCUUUCUUUCUUAUUUUUUAAUGCCAAACCUUGAAACAUUCACAGCUAUAUAAAUGAUUAUUCAAACCCCCACACAACUCCAACAAGCUCUUUUAACCUUUAAAUAAGAGAGAAAUUUUUGUUCAUCUUUAUGACUUAAAUGAGUUUAAAUAAAGAAUGAUAUAAAUAGACUCAAUGGGAUUUACAAAAAGGGAUGAUAUCAUUCAUAGUUGCCUUUUUGGCUAAGUGGCUAAAAGUAAAACAAAAAACAAGUUGUCUUUAUCAUAUCAGUGUGCACAAGUAAUCAACAGUUUUAAAAAGAGUCAAUUCAAGUUUUAAGGACUAACAGACAUGAAUGAAUCACACAAGAAAGAAUGAGAUGGAUUUUUUUAUUGUUAUCCAUCAAAAGGCUCAAAAUAUCACAAGUUAUUGAUCUACCAAAAUUGAUGCACAAUUAAGCAUUUUUUAGUCUUACUUAUCAUACUAAGAACAUAAAAAAAUCAAUCACUUCACACCAUAAUUCUUUAAUCAAUAGACAGAGAAAAUACUCAUAAUUGUAACUCAAAAACCAAAGAAAAAGCAUGCAUUUAUUUUAUUUUUUUAUGCUAAGAAAAACAAACAAAAACAAGAACUGAAUAAAACAAAGUAAAUGGCUCCUCAGAAGACAAAGUGGAAGCAAAAUUCUAUUUCUAAGUUGAAUAUAUUAGCGUUAGUGAGCAACUAAUUGUGACAGUCAAAGCAGAUAAAAGGAUAGUUUACCAGGAGUACAUCAUAAGCAAUAAGAUCCUCAUAGAUAAAAUUCACUCAACUCUCGAGUAUUUAGGUUGAUUGUUUACACUCACAGCACAACAUGAAAAUUAACAUGCACUAAAAGAUCAAAAUGACUUUUAUUUGGUUGUAACUUGGUCAGGGUACGGGUGAGAUAAAUCCUAAGCGGGUACUAGGCUAAAAUUCAAAGGGUCAAAAAGAAAAUGAAAAUAGACGCGGAGUUGAACAAAAUAUAUUCCAUCACUUUCAAACAACACUUUCCAUUUUCUCUUUUCCUCUUUCUCUCUUUUUCUUUAUUUACUUUUUUUCUUCAGAAGGAAUACAAUAAGGACGAGAGUUUCUUCCUUCUUUCUUUUCUUAUUUUUUAAUGCCAAACCUUGAAACAUCACAGCUAUUAUAAUGCUUAUUCAACCCCCACACAACUCCAACAACAAGCUCUUUAACCCUUUAAUAAGGAGAUAAAUUUUUUUCCACUUUAUGACUUGUAAUGAGUUUAAAUAAAGAAUGAUAUAAUAGACUCAUGAUUUUAAAAAAAAGGAUUUGAUAUCAUUCAUAGUUGCCUUUUUGGCUAAGUGGCUAAAAGUAAAACAAAAACAAGUUGUCUUUAUCAUAUCAGUGUGCACAAGUAAUCAACAGUUUUAAAAAGAGUCAAUUCAAGUUUAAGAACUAACAGACAUGAAUGAAAUCACACCAGAAAAGAAUGAGAUGGAUUUUUUUAUUGUUAUCCAUCAAAGGCUCAAAAUAUCACAAGGUUAUUGAUCUACCACAAUUGAUGCACAAUUAAGCAUUUAGUCUUACUUAUCAUACUAAGACAUAAAAAAAUCAAUCACUUCACACCAAAUUCUUUUAAUCAAUAGAACAGAGAAAAUACUCAUUAAUUGUAACUCAAAAACCAAAGAAAAAGCAUGCAUUUAUUUUAUUUUUUUUUAUGUAAGAAAACAAACAAAAACAAAGAAACUGAAUAAAACAAAGUAAAUGGCUCCUCAGAAGACAAAGUGGAAGCAAAAUUCUAUUUCUAAGCUGAAUAAUAUAGCGUUAGUGAGCAACUAAUUGUGACAGGCAAAGCAGAUAAAAGGAUAGUUUACCAGGAGUACAUCAUAAGCAAUAAGAUCCUCAUAAGAUAAAAUUCACUCAACUCUCGAGUAUUUAGGUUGAUUGUUUACACUCACAGCACAACAUGAAAAUUAACAUGCACAAAGAUCAAAAUGACUUUUAUUUGGUUGUACUUUGGUCAGGGUACGGGUGAGAUAAAUCCUAAGGGUACUAGGCUAAAUUCAAAGGGUCAAAGAAAAUUAAAAGACGCGGGAGUUGAACUAAACAUAUUCCAUUCACUUUCAAACAACACUUUUCCAUUUUCUCUUUUCUCUUUCUCUUUUUCUUUUAUUUACUUUUUUUUCUUCAGAAGGAAUACAAUAAGGACGAGAGUUUUCUUCCUUCUUUCUUUUCUUAUUUUUUUAAUGCCAAACCUUGAAACAUCACAGCUAUAUAAAUGCUUAUUCAACCCCCACACAACUCCAACAAGCUCUUUUAACCUUUAAAUAAGAGAUAAAUUUUUUUCACUUUAUGACUUGUAAUGAGUUUUAAAUAAAGAAUGAUAUAAUAGACUCAAUGCAUUUUCAAACAAGGGAUGAUAUCAUUCAUAGUUGCCUUUUUGGCUAAGUGGCUAAAAGUAAAACAAAAACAAGUUGUUUUUUAUCAUAUCAGUGUGCACGAGAAAUCAACAGUUUUAAAAAAGAGUCAAUUCAAGUUUUAGAGACUAACAGACAUGAAUGAAAUCACAAAAGAAGAAAGAGAUGGAUUUUUUAUUGUUAUCCAUCACAAAGGCUCAAAUAUCACAAGGUUAUUGAUCUACCACAAUUGAUGCACAAUUAAGCAUUUUAGUCUACUUAUCAUACUAAGAAACAUAAAAAAAAAAUCAAUCACUUCACACCAUAAUUCUUUAAUCAAUAGAAACAGAGAAAAUACUCAUAAUUGUAACUCAAAAACCAAAGAAAAAAGCAUGCAUUUAUUUUAUUUUUUUUAUGUAAGAAAACAAACAAAAACAAAGAAAUGAAUAAAACAAAGUAAAUGGCUCCUCAGAAGACAAAGCUUCCCAGAAGACAAAGUGGAAGCAAAUUCAUUUCUAAGCUUAUAAUAUAGCGUUAGGAGCAUCUAAUUGUGACAGUCAAAGCAGAUAAAAGGAUAGUUUACCAGGAGUACAUCAUAAGCAAUAAGAUCCUCAUAAGAUAAAAAUCACUCAACUCUCGAAUAUUAGGUUGAUUGUUUACACUCAAAGCACAAAUGGAAAUUAAACAUGCACAAAAGAUCAAAAUGACUUUUAUUUGCGUUGUAACUUGGUCAGGGUAGCGGUGAGAUAAAUCAUAAGGCCGGUACUAGGCUAAAAUUCAAAGGGUCAAAAGAAAAUUGAAAAUAGACGCGGGAGUUGAACUAAAUAUAUUCCAUUCACUUUCAAACAACACUUUUCAUUUCUUCUUCUCUUUUCUCUUUUCUUUUUUAUUUACUUUUUUUUCUUUCAGAAGGAAUACAAUAAGGACGAGAGUUUUCUUCCUUCUUUCUUUUUCUUUAUUUUUUAAUGCCAAACCUUGAAACAUCACAGCUAUAUAAAUGCUUAUUCAACCCCCACACAACUCCAACAAGCUCUUUUAACCCUUUAAAUAAGGAGAUAAUUUUUUUUCACUUUAUGACUUGUAAGAGUUUAAAUAAAGAAUGAUAUAAAUAGACUCAAUGGAUUUUCAAACAAGGGAUGAUAUCAUUCAUAGUUGCCUUUUUGGGCUAAGUGGCUAAAAGUAAAACAAAAACAAGUUGUCUUUAUCAUAUCAGUGUGCACAAG